GCGAACGGGUGCGUAACAGUGGAAACCUUCCUUCAGGUGGGGAAUAACCCAGUGAAAAUUGGGAAAAUACCGCAUAACAAGACGGGGGCACAUGCUCUAGGAUUCAAAGCAGCAAUGCGUCGGAGGAGGAGCCCGCGCCCGAUUAGCUAGUUGGUGAGGUACGGCUCACCAAGGGAAUGAAUGGUAUCUGGGGUCUAAGAUGGUGGCCGCCCUCGCAGAAAUAAACACCCCCCCCACCACUCCUACGGGAGGCAGCAGUGGGGAAUCUUGCACAAUGGGCGAAAGCCUGAUGCAGCGACGCCGCGUGGGGGAUGAAGCUUCUCGGAGUGUAAACCCCUUUCGACUGGGACGAAUGCCUCGCAAGAGGAGUGACGGUACCAGUAUAAGAAGCCCCGGCUAACUACGUGCCAGCAGCCGCGGUAAGACGUAGGGGGCCAGCGUUGUUCGGAAUUACUGGGUGUAAAGGGUUCGUAGGCGGUGUGGCAAGUUGGGAGUGAAAUCUCUGGGCUCAACCCAGAGGCUGCUUCCAA
Molecule: ribosomal RNA, 530 nt
Filed under: uncultured bacterium
Lineage: Bacteria
Description: bacterial SSU rRNA
Rfam family: Bacterial small subunit ribosomal RNA
Source: RNAcentral